RNAcentral lists this transfer RNA (72 nucleotides) under Podarcis lilfordi (Lilford's wall lizard). RNAcentral describes it as "tRNA.Ile". The record is from RNAcentral. Lineage: Eukaryota; Metazoa; Chordata; Lepidosauria; Squamata; Lacertidae.
GCACAUCGCUCAGCUGGUUAGAGUGUGGUGCUGAUAAUGCCAAGGUUGCAGGUUCGAUCCCCGUAUGGGACA